GUGCUCACUUCGGCAGCACACAUACUAAAAUUGGAACAGUACAGAGAAGAUUAGCAUGGCCCUGAGCAAGGAUGACAUGCAAAUUCGUGAAGUAUUGCGUAGUUUU
Molecule: small nuclear RNA, 106 nt
Organism: Onychomys torridus (southern grasshopper mouse)
Lineage: Eukaryota; Metazoa; Chordata; Mammalia; Rodentia; Cricetidae
Source: RefSeq, a predicted model, not a curated record